This is a long non-coding RNA of Oreochromis aureus, 367 nucleotides long. The record is from Ensembl. Lineage: Eukaryota; Metazoa; Chordata; Actinopteri; Cichliformes; Cichlidae.
CCCACAGAGAAAACAACCGUCUUUACCAAACAGACAGAUAUACCAUCAGAGAGACUCCCAGAACCUGCAACACAAAGAAAAGGUCACCGUGAGGUUACACGAGUCUGAGCUGCUGGACACAGAAUUGACAGUCAGGUCGACCAGUGACACUGGAUCUGAGGGGGGAGGAGGUGUUUAAAGGAAAAUACACGUCAGUGGUUACUCUCCAUCAAUGUCUGACAAGUUGCAAUACUUACCUUGAACCGUGAUGUUGUAUUCAGUUAAUAUUACUGUAUCUUGAGGCCCUAUCAUUUGUGCAGUAUAAACUCCACUGUCUGCCUCUUGAAGAUUCUUCAGUUUCACAGUGAUUUCUCACAGAAAACUCAAC